RNAcentral lists this ribosomal RNA (253 nucleotides) under uncultured bacterium. RNAcentral describes it as "partial 16S ribosomal RNA". It matches the Rfam family "Bacterial small subunit ribosomal RNA", at positions 524 to 776 of the family's 1533-position model. The record is from RNAcentral.
GACAGAGGGGGCAAGCGUUGCUCGGAAUUACUGGGCGUAAAGGGCGCGUAGGCGGGAUGGCAAGUCGGUCGUGAAAUCCCUCGGCUCAACUGAGGAUCGUCGAUCGAUACUGCCGUUCUUGAGGAUUGCAGAGGAGACUGGAAUUCCCGGUGUAGCGGUGAAAUGUGUAGAGAUCGGGAGGGACACCGGUGGCGAAGGCGGGUCUCUGGGCAAUUCCUGACGCUGAGGCGCGAAAGCGUGGGGAGCAAACAGG